Molecule: non-coding RNA, 180 nt
Filed under: Otariodibacter oris
Lineage: Bacteria; Pseudomonadati; Pseudomonadota; Gammaproteobacteria; Pasteurellales; Pasteurellaceae
Description: Pasteurellaceae bacterium Baika1 6S / SsrS RNA
Rfam family: 6S / SsrS RNA
About the family: E. coli 6S RNA was the first non coding RNA to be sequenced, but its function was unknown until recently. It consists of 184 nucleotides that fold into an extended hairpin structure with a large single-stranded internal bulge.
Source: Rfam by way of RNAcentral
AUCUGCCUGAGGUGUUCGUUGUUAGUUACGUCCCUGAGCCGAUAUUUAAAACUCUUUGAGUUGAAUGACUAAUUGUUGGUGAGCAGGCUCGCUUGCGAGAAGCCUAAAAACGAUUGAUUUCGACUCCCUUGAACCGUAUGGUUCAAGGACUACAACUAAUAACGGCACUUUGGGUCUUUU